GAAUUACCGAUGUGAGCCACUGUGCCUGAUCCCGAAAAGAACAAGAGCUACUCUUAGCCAGAAAAAUGCCAGAUGGUACUGAGGAAUCAGACUCAUACUAUUCCAGAGCAAUGUCAUCUGCAGAAGAGAGCCAAUAGCUAAUUGACAGAGAUGCCCUUGUUGUUUUUAUGGAAGUCAAGAUGUCCUAUGUCUAUCACCAGACCUGUCCUUCUAUAAUUGGCUUGGGUCUCAAGCUCUCUUUGGAACUUUAUUCUAGAAAUUUGGGGAAUGCAUACAACUUUUGCCUUGCUUCUGAAAUGAUAACUCUGCAUUCGUUCUCAACCAUCAUUAAUCAUGCAUAGCUGUGCUCACUGAGGCAAUGUUUUUGAGAACCGAUGGAUGAACAAGAUCUUAUUAGCACUGGUUUCCAUGGUUUAUCACUUAUGGCCAAUGUCACACAGGAUUUUCAACCAGGAUGGGAACGCCCAGCAGCUGGAAGUCCAGCUGCCAAUUCAUCAAUU
Long non-coding RNA from Cebus imitator (Panamanian white-faced capuchin), 500 nucleotides. RefSeq lists it as uncharacterized. The transcript is spliced from 3 exons. NCBI's taxonomy places the organism in Eukaryota, Metazoa, Chordata, Mammalia, Primates, Cebidae. The record is from RefSeq and is a predicted model, not a curated record.